This 215-nucleotide long non-coding RNA is filed under the name Prunus persica (peach). Its description in RNAcentral is "long non-coding RNA (PPER_LNC003380)". Lineage: Eukaryota; Viridiplantae; Streptophyta; Magnoliopsida; Rosales; Rosaceae. The record is from RNAcentral.
UGACCAAAUGACUCCUCCCACCAUGUUGUGAUGUUCCCCAAGUUUUGCACUCAAUCCGAUAUCGAUUGGUCCAUGAAAUCGAACAAUUCAGGUUCGUACGAAGUUCGUUACGAAAUGCUGUGGUUGGUGUAUUGCAUAGUUUUAGCCAUUGGAUUUUAGUCAAAACUCACCAAACGACUCCACCCACCACCAUAUUAUGAUGUUCCCCAAGUUUU